Molecule: long non-coding RNA, 2380 nt
Organism: Ananas comosus (pineapple)
Lineage: Eukaryota; Viridiplantae; Streptophyta; Magnoliopsida; Poales; Bromeliaceae
Exons: 6
Source: RefSeq, a predicted model, not a curated record
UCCGCCUCCUUCCCUGCUUCUAAUUAACUUCUUCUUCCAACUUCACCUCCUUCGCUCGCCCCUCUAGGUGCCGCUCCGACUCCUGUUCCCUCCCGUUCCCUCUCUGGACGGAAUGUUGGGCGAGUUCAUGGUCGGGCCUUCUUCCCGUCGCGACGCUUCGUUUCGUUCGCUCCUUAUAUGCCGCUUCGACUCCUGUUCCCUCUCUAGACAGAAUGUUGGGCUGGGUUCAUGGUCGGCGCUUCUUCCGGUCGCACCGUUCCCGUUAGCGACGCUUCGUUUCGGCUUAUUCAUCCCCUUUGAUCACGAAAAUGCGAGGCCUCCGCGGGCUUCGAUUUCACCUCCAGGAAGCGGAUCGAGCAGCCGCCCGGGCCCACGCCCGCACGAGGGCACGAGCCGACACGGACGCGAGCCGGCGCGGGUGUGGGCGUGGGCGUGGGCGUGGGCGCGCGCAGGGGCGCGAGCGGCGUGGGCUGCGCGGGUUGGGUCCGGACACGGGCGCGGGAAGUGAUCUCCGCGCUCUCUCCCUCGCAGGCACCGUGCCCUCUCCGCGCCCUCUCCCUGCCGCCGGGAUCUGCAGUGUGAUCUUCACUGGUGCCGCGCCCUCUCCCUGGCACCCUCUCCGACCUCCCGCUCGCGAACCCCAAUGCCCUCUCCCUGGUGCCCGCGCCCUGUUCAACGAAAUGCCGAGCUUAUUUAUAAAUGACAAUUUCUCAAUUUGCUGAGCUUUUUAAAUAGGUUUACUCAGAAGAAUCUACUCAGAAUUUAUCCAAAGGGAACGCGAUUCAAUUCAUCAAACUAUAACCCGUAUAUCGGUUGGAUGCAUGGUGCUCAAAUGGUUGCAUUCAAUAUGCAGAUAAUAAAAUGAGGAAUUAGUUGGUGGAGUUGGUCUCAUAUGUUGAUAAACUGAACAUUGAGUAAGCUUAUAUUUUUCCUUUAUAUCUGAAGUGUUCUAUAGCUUAAUUAGAUACCUAGCCUCAUAUGUAUAAUCUCUUACCAUGAACUCAACAUAUGUUGUUCUGGGUGGAUUAGGUAAUGUUCUAUGAGAAGAUCCGAAUAAAUAUAAUGCUGUGUGAAAAAAAAAGAGUUGCUAAUUAUUAAGACUUCAUUUCAUUUCAUUAUAUUGACAUUUCCUCCUUAAAUGUUGGAUGGUUUUGAUGGUUGCGAUCGACCCGACCCUUCUUAACUGGUGAUGAGGACACUUUGGAUGGCCUACUUUGUAGGCAGUCGGUUGCUCCCUGCUAUGUAAAAAAAAAGACUUCGGCGGCGAUCUAAUACGCAAAACAAGACUUCGGCGGUGAUCUAAUAAUGUUCGAUGGAUAGGGAAGCCUUAGCAAAGUAUAUUUAUUUUCACUAUCAGCCAUUUUAUAUGCAGCAUGGUCUUACACUUUCUUUCUUAUACCUCGAGAUUGCUUUUGCUUUCCAUUUGGAUGGCUUGGUAAGUAUUUCUGUCAAGUUGGGGUGUUUUUCAUUUAUGUCCAUGCAAAAUCAUCAUUUACAUAUAUACUUUUUACAAUCUGAAUGUUAAUAUGUGCUCCCCGAAAGUGAAUUUUGUCCAAAGGUAUCCUUAUCUAAAGUGAGGGAGCCAUCUAAUUUAGGUGGCAAUUGCAUGAAGUUAAUUUUGUAUCACCGAAGGUCUUUACUGAGAAUCAUUUUUGGUGGCAGAAGGGUAUAUCUAGAAAAAAGUAAGUUUUUGAAGUAGAUGAAAUUCAGUUUAUGGAGAGAUGCGUAGAUAACUUUUUUGAAUAAUUUGAUAAUUGAAAUUGUCUUCUACAUUCAGAUUAUAUCAAACACCACAAUUUCACGGCCAAAACCUCUAGAGAAGCACCAUUUGGCUCCAGAACCUGGUGGUUUAAAUGGGAAGCCACUCUUUGAUCUAUCUAUUCAUACUCAAGGUGAUGUAUAUGCUCACUCAAGGAGAUGUAUAUCCACACACAAGUGAUGAAGAUGCAUACAAGAAGAUCCAAUCAAGUGCAACCCUGGUUUAGCUUUAUACUGGUUUUGCCUUUGGGGGACCAGCACUUAUUCCCUAGAUAAAGUUAACAAGGGAGGUUGCCCGACGUAGUUGAUGAGCAUUUUGAACUUGCUCCUGCCCUGAGAGGCGAGCUCCAAAUGCAUCUCCAUAGUCAUGGCGUCUGCGUUCUGUCAUAGCUUUCCGAUCGGCAUGGUGCACUGCUCCUUGAGCUCCCUGACUAUCGUCGCUGCCCUUACCCACCACCCUAGCUCUGCAUGCGGUGCCGCACCACCACCUCUGCCACUGCAUACCGGGGGAAAAAGGGAGAAAAUUAUAUACUAUAUAGUUGAAAUGGUUGUUGUUCUUAUUAUUAUGGUGUAACUUUUGUUUUGCGAGGAAUGAAAAAAUGGCAUACUACUCUUUCUAUUA